GGUGGUUCUUGGGUGAUGCACCCUGGAAUCGGGCUCCCUCCUUUCUGGUUCUGGGGUGAAUCACCCAAGAACCGCU
Molecule: non-coding RNA, 76 nt
Organism: Myotis brandtii (Brandt's bat)
Lineage: Eukaryota; Metazoa; Chordata; Mammalia; Chiroptera; Vespertilionidae
Source: Rfam